RNAcentral lists this transfer RNA (85 nucleotides) under Rheinheimera sp. D18. Its description in RNAcentral is "tRNA-Leu". It matches the Rfam family "tRNA". From Rfam's summary of the family: Transfer RNA (tRNA) molecules are approximately 80 nucleotides in length. Their secondary structure includes four short double-helical elements and three loops (D, anti-codon, and T loops). Lineage: Bacteria; Pseudomonadati; Pseudomonadota; Gammaproteobacteria; Chromatiales; Chromatiaceae. RNAcentral also lists the same sequence under 1 other name. The record is from RNAcentral.
GCAGAUGUGGUGGAAUUGGUAGACACGCAAGCUUCAGGUGUUUGUGCCCAAAAGCGUGAGAGUUCGAGUCUCUCCAUCUGCACCA